AACAAACCACUGAUGUAAACCCCGGACAGAAACAGACUUGUUUCGCCUUCCUCACAGACACACACGCCCCUACUCCGAACCCAAGGAAAGAAUCGCUGAUCCGACUCCUUUCCGUUGCUUCCUUUUGAAGGCUCUCUCAAUCCCCGAUGUAGGAUUUUAUGGCAAAGCAGGAAGAGGUGCCACUGAAGGUGUCCGAGGAAAAGGAAAGCUGGGCACUCCUCCUCCAGCUCACCUAUGCAUGUCCCAGUGUGGGAUGAGCUUAGAGCCAGGUCUAAACACUCGAGACUGUCCAGAGGUGAGCAUAUCCUCCAACUACCCACAGGGAAGACGGGUUCCGCAAAAGGGUCCGGGGAACGUGUCUGAGCGGAGGUAAGAACAAUCCAAGAAGGUUGUGGCAGUUUCUCUGAUGCAGUGCAACAGCGACCGGUUGGAUGACUGGAUACAACAAAUGACAUGUACCACCCAAAUGGCAUUCAGUGAAAAGCAACGUUUACAGCAAAGCAUUCUAUCACUUAGUGACUAAGAAUUUUAAAAUAAACAUGCAGUUCCUUUUAAACAGAAACGGAAAAAAGAAAAAAAAAAAAAACUUCAUCAACUUACUGGCAAGGCUGUAACAUGAAAGUCCCCAUCUAUGGUUAGAUCUGAAUCCUGACGACUGCUUAUUUCAAAUCAAAGAUUCUAGAAGGAUACACGGUGCAUUCUAUUAUUUAAGGUGGAAUAAAUUAAUUGCAGGGAAAAGGAAUAUUUUGCACCUGAGAAUCGAUCAUCAGAUAGCUCCGUAUCCCUCAAGUUGAAAGAACCAAGGGUUUGCGAAACGCCUGUGCCUCCCCCGCCCCUUUUUGGCAAGGAAGUGAGAAAUCUAUGCAGAACACUACACGUCUACCUUUUAUAAUUAAUUUCCCAAUGCCUCACCUAUACGUAUUUUAAUAAUUCCUGAUUUAUAAGAUGGUAUCUGUAAUAAAAUUUUCUAUUUUCCAAUAAAUGAAAAGAAGGCAGGUUCACUCCAGCAACAGAGUGUCACGCAAUAUCUGCUUGUCAGGCACCAAUUUUUACUUCUUACAUGUAAGUUAAAGGAUAAGGAAUUUAUAAUGCUGCCUGUGAAGGGAACCACUUUUCAUACACAAAUGUGAUCUUUUUUUUUUCAAAGGGUAAUACAACAGUACAUUUACAUAAACUAAUCCAAACAAUCUAUGUAUUUGACAAUGGCAAACCUCACACAGACGGCCUAUUGUUGGUUUACAUCUUGGAGUUCUUUAUAUUGGCUUGUAGCGCUGCUCUAGCUGUCAAAGGUUUGACUUGGACACUAAAUAAAUGGUUAUAGAAGUGCUGUGCAGCGAUAUUGGACUUCUUUGCAAAAGAAAACCUGCUGUGUAUGAAUUCAAAAGCUAUUAAUUUUUCAGUCAAAAAUAUUCGUGCCUAUUUCUUUUAAUAAAGAAAUACUGUGCUGAACUACUAAGAGAUAAUGUUGACUAGUGGUAGAGAAUUUUCAAUAGAACAGUUAAAAAUAAAUUUAGUAGGAGGUCCCCUUCGAAGUUACAAUUUUCUAGAAUGUAAAACAUUUUUUUUUUUUAAAUACUAAUCAAGACAAACCUUCCUCCCCAGUGCAUUUCCCCCACAACUGCUUUUCCCUGUUUACUGGCUGCUUCACACUGGUCUUCAUGGAGAUUCCCAAGGGUCCUUUUGUGGCCUAUGCAGGCUUACCUGGAUGGAUGGCCCUCUCUGCCAACACCCUGCCCCAGCACUCACGGAGCGCCCCAUGGCGUUUCACAAAUCCUUCUCCACUUUCAUCCCUCCUCCUCCCAAGGAGCCCCAUGAUACAAAAUGAGUUCCUCCCAGAGUCCUGAGGCCAAACAGUAUUCUAUCAUUGCUUUGAAUCCAUGGAGGAAGUAGGAGAUAAUCCCAUUCUCUCCCCUAUUACUAGGUUCAAAGACCCAUACCCCUCAUCCUGGGGAAAAAGCCAUUCCAAACAGAAGCCACCUGAAGACUUCAUGAGAGUUCCGAAGGCUAUCGAUUCCCUUAGCGGUUGGCUGUGCCCACUGGAAAACCCCAUGAAGUCAUUUCCGGGUCUUACCAGCUUCCUAAACUGGGCUCCUAUGAUUACAAGAAGGGGCUGAUGAAGUCAACACAAAUGGCACAACUGACUACUCAUCCCAUUAUACCCAAUGGCCUAGGUUUUUCUGUUUCCCUUUCUUUUUGGUAGCCUACACAUUCAGUCCUAUGGCCAUUUAGUGCAAAACACGGAAACUAAGGGCUCUCUCCUAGUAAAAAUGGAUGCACAAAGUGUUUAAUGAUUUUAUGUCCUAUAUCUCAGUAAUGUGUUCUGUUUCAGACAUUAAUUUUGUCUGCCAACUGCAUCUUGGCAGGCUACCAUAUUUGCUGGGUUAAUAGUCUGACUCCGUUUUAUUUCUAUCAUCAUAAAUCAUACAUAUAUGGGUGUAUGUUUGCUUUAUUUAUAGAAAAAAAUCAGUCAAAACAGAUAAACCAAUACUUUGCCAUUACGCUGCAUCAUUGCAUAUUGAUUAAAAUUGCUGGUACUAACUAUAGAUUGUCAACGCUCAAUUAAUUUUCACACAGUGACUCCAAGCAAAAUCAAAUAAAGGCAGUGUACCUUUAAAUUUUACAAAUCUUAAAAAUCAAGAAGCAAAGCACUCUCUCCAUUUUGAAUAAUCAGUAGAAGCUACUAAGGAGAUUUUUAGAAAUAUAAGUAUAUGAGAAAUACAACUGUUAAAGAGAUCAAUUUAUAGCAAGGAAUGAGGCCCAAGACAGGAUUUGGGGUUUAGAAACCAUCCUUCUGCUUAGAUAUUAACUGUCUGUGCUCGGAUGGCACUCUUCAAGGUUAAGGAAAAGGAAACAAGGCAAGAAGUAGGAGAUUCCUACAAGUUAAACGUAAUUUCAACAUACCAUGUUGGAACUCCUAACUGCAAAAGAGUAAUAUUCACUUCUAACUCUCUAAUAACCAUUAGAUGCCGUCCACAAUUUUAGCUUCCAGCUAUUCCAACAGUGUGCUUCCUAUUUCUUAUGUCUUUCCUCUGUGACCGUUAGACUGCACUGGCCCUCACUCCCUUUCUCAUACCCGCAGUCUCUUGGCUAAUGCAGGCUGAAAUGCCCUUUUCUUCUGACUCCAUGGUCUGGCUGUCUUCUUUCUGGGUUCACACCAUUUAGAAAGACCUUUCCCCCUCCCGGCGACCUAUCAUGUUUUCGUACCCUGGUACACCAUCAAUCAUCUGUCCCGAAGAGCGAGUUGUUGGGCCUCGUGGCCAAAGACCGAUUCUGAAUCAUCCUCUACGUUGUGAAAUGCCCUGCACACCACCCCCUUUAUAGAAGGUAACCGGAAACACUCCACUGACUUAUGUCCUUCAAUACUAACAGCUGCCAGAGUAGGUUUUCCUGUCUCCUAUGCUUAGGGGUGAGGAAGCAGCAAAGAAACAGUGUGAAGUUUCCCCUGGUGUAGCUCGGUACUUACGGGCUGAGGGGCGGCUUUGGGUUCUGUUGACUUCACGUGCAGAUGGGUCAUCAUGGCUUGCAGGCGCUCUUUGUCUUUUGCAAGCUAGUAGGAAGAAAGUGCUCUGUUAUUUCUUUGAAUACAGAUGCAUUACUAUUUUAACAUCCAAAAUGAUACA
Acinonyx jubatus (cheetah) is the source of this 3620-nucleotide long non-coding RNA. RefSeq lists it as uncharacterized. The record is from RefSeq and is a predicted model, not a curated record. The transcript has 3 exons. Lineage: Eukaryota; Metazoa; Chordata; Mammalia; Carnivora; Felidae.